GAUGAAGAACGUAGCGAAAUGCGAUAAGUAAUGUGAAUUGCAGAAUUCAGUGAAUCAUCGAAUCUUUGAACGCACCUUGCGCUCCCUGGUAUUCCUCGGAGCAUGCCUGUUUGAGUAUCAUGAAACUCUCAAAGAAAAUCUUUUGUUAAUUCAAUUGGUUUGCUUUGGACUUGGAGGUUUUUUUUUGCAGAUUAAUUUCUGCUCCUCUUAAAUAUAUUAGCUGGAUCUCAGUAUAUGCUCGGUUCCACUCGGCGUGAUAAGUAUCACUCGCUGAGGACACUGGUAAAAAAGGUGGCCGGGAAAUACAGAUGAACCGCUUCAAACAGUCCAUUCACUUGGACAAUAUAAAGUUUUAAGAUCUGAUCUCAAAUCAGGUAGGACUACCCGCUGAACUUAAGCAUAUCAAUAAGCGGAGGA
Molecule: unclassified non-coding RNA, 417 nt
Filed under: soil metagenome
Description: partial contains 5.8S ribosomal RNA, internal transcribed spacer 2, and large subunit ribosomal RNA
Rfam family: 5.8S ribosomal RNA (bases 1-120)
Source: RNAcentral